GACGAACGCUGGCGGCGUGCCUAAUACAUGCAAGUAGAACGCUGAAGGAGGAGCUUGCUCUUCUGGAUGAGUUGCGAACGGGUGAGUAACGCGUAGGUAACCUGCCUGGUAGCGGGGGAUAACUAUUGGAAACGAUAGCUAAUACCGCAUAAGAGUAGAUGUUGCAUGACAUUUACUUAAAAGGUGCAAUUGCAUCACUACCAGAUGGACCUGCGUUGUAUUAGCUAGUUGGUGGGGUAACGGCUUACCAAGGCGACGAUACAUAGCCGACCUGAGAGGGUGAUCGACCACACUGGGACUGAGACACGGCCCAGACUCCUACGGGAGGCAGCAGUAGGGAAUCUUCGGCAAUGGACGGAAGUCUGACCGAGCAACGCCGCGUGAGUGAAGAAGGUUUUCGGAUCGUAAAGCUCUGUUGUAAGAGAAGAACGAGUGUGAGAGUGGAAAGUUCACACUGUGACGGUAUCUUACCAGAAAGGGACGGCUAACUACGUG
RNAcentral lists this ribosomal RNA (495 nucleotides) under uncultured bacterium. RNAcentral describes it as "partial 16S ribosomal RNA". It matches the Rfam family "Bacterial small subunit ribosomal RNA", at positions 28 to 507 of the family's 1533-position model. The record is from RNAcentral.